UACGUAGGGGGCCAGCGUUGUCCGGAAUCAUUGGGCGUAAAGAGCGUGUAGGCGGUCCGAUAAGUCCGCUCUGAAAGCCCGGGGCUCAACCCCGGGAGGCGGGCGGAUACUGUCGGGCUAGAGUCCGGAAGAGGCAAGUGGAAUUCCUGGUGUAGCGGUGAAAUGCGCAGAUAUCAGGAGGAACACCGAUGGCGAAGGCAGCUUGCUGGGACGGUACUGACGCUGAGACGCGAAAGCGUGGGGAGCAAACAGG
This 253-nucleotide ribosomal RNA is filed under the name uncultured bacterium. Its description in RNAcentral is "partial 16S ribosomal RNA". It matches the Rfam family "Bacterial small subunit ribosomal RNA", at positions 524 to 776 of the family's 1533-position model. The record is from RNAcentral.